CUGGCCCUGAAACAAGGGCCGGCAGCUUCCUGGUUUCAAGCAGGAGCCUAAAGAGAUGUCUUUUUAUGGUCUGUUGGUCAUUGCAGAACUUGGGCAGUGAAAUGAUCAAUUCAUUAAAAAGAAACAGCU
Small nucleolar RNA from Cavia aperea (Brazilian guinea pig), 129 nucleotides. NCBI's taxonomy places the organism in Eukaryota, Metazoa, Chordata, Mammalia, Rodentia, Caviidae. The record is from Ensembl.